This 550-nucleotide ribosomal RNA is filed under the name uncultured bacterium. RNAcentral's name for it is "bacterial SSU rRNA". It matches the Rfam family "Bacterial small subunit ribosomal RNA", at positions 355 to 896 of the family's 1533-position model. The record is from RNAcentral.
UAGGGAAUCUCCGGCAAUGGGGGGAACCCUGACCGAGCAACGCCGCGUGAGUGAAGAAGGUUUUCGGAUCGUAAAGCUCUGUUGUUAAGGAAGAACGAGUGUGAGAAUGGAAAGUUCAUACUGUGACGGUACUUAACCAGAAAGGGACGGCUAACUACGUGCCAGCAGCCGCGGUAAUACGUAGGUCCCGAGCGUUGUCCGGAUUUAUUGGGCGUAAAGCGAGCGCAGGCGGUUAGAAAAGUCUGAAGUGAAAGGCAGUGGCUCAACCAUUGUAGGCUUUGGAAACUGUUUAACUUGAGUGCAGAAGGGGAGAGUGGAAUUCCAUGUGUAGCGGUGAAAUGCGUAGAUAUAUGGAGGAACACCGGUGGCGAAAGCGGCUCUCUGGUCUGUAACUGACGCUGAGGCUCGAAAGCGUGGGGAGCGAACAGGAUUAGAUACCCUGGUAGUCCACGCCGUAAACGAUGAGUGCUAGGUGUUAGGUCCUUUCCGGGACUUAGUGCCGCAGCUAACGCAUUAAGCACUCCGCCUGGGGAGUACGACCGCAAGGUUG